AGCGAACGCUGGCGGCAGGCCUAACACAUGCAAGUCGAACGAACCCACCGGGGUUAGUGGCGGACGGGUGUGUCACACGUGGGAACGUGCCUGUAGGCUUGGAAUAAUUCAUGGUCACUUGUGCUAACACCGAAUGAGUUCCUCUGGGGCAAGAUUCAUCGCCCUUAGAGAGGCCGGCGUUGGUUUAGCUAGUUGAGUGUGGAUAUGGCUCAGCAAGGUGAGGAACAGUAGCUGGUCUGGGAGGAAGAACAGCGACAUUGGGACUGAGACACAGCCCAGACUCCUACGGGAGGCAGCAGUGGCGAAUCCAGCGCAAUGGGCGAAAGCCUGACGCAGCCAUGCCGGGUGAAUGAUGUAGGUGUGAGGAAAGUAAAAUUCUUUAACCGGGGGCGGUAAUGACGGUACCCGGAGAAGAAGCCCCGGCUAACUUCGUG
RNAcentral lists this ribosomal RNA (434 nucleotides) under uncultured bacterium. RNAcentral's name for it is "partial 16S ribosomal RNA". It matches the Rfam family "Bacterial small subunit ribosomal RNA", at positions 29 to 507 of the family's 1533-position model. The record is from RNAcentral.